CCCUUAGAUGUUCUGGGCCGCACGCGCGCUACACUGAUGCAUUCAACGAGUUUCUUCCUGGUCCGAGAGGAAUGGGUAACCUUUUGAAAGUGCAUCGUGAUAGGGAUAGGCUAUUGCAAUUAUUGGUCUUCGACGAGGAAUUCCUAGUAGACGUAGUUCAUCAGACUGCAUCGAUUACGUCCCUGCCCUUUGUACACACCGCCCGUCGCUCCUACCGAUUGAAUGAUCCGAUGAAUACCAUGGAUUGAGAGUACGAAUAGGUUCGCUUAUUUCUGCUGCUCGAGAAGUGGAGUAAAUCUUAUCAUUUAGAGGAAGGAGAAGUCGUAACA
Molecule: ribosomal RNA, 329 nt
Filed under: uncultured eukaryote
Lineage: Eukaryota
Description: partial 18S ribosomal RNA
Rfam family: Eukaryotic small subunit ribosomal RNA
Source: RNAcentral